AUUGUUGGCCAUGCUACCCUGAACGUGCCCGAUCUCAUCUGAUCUCAGAAGCUAAGCAGGGUCAGGCCUGGUUAGUACUUGGAUGGGAGAAAUAAACUUUUAAUGUCAAUGCCAGAAAAGUCAAAGAAA
Pteropus vampyrus (large flying fox) is the source of this 129-nucleotide ribosomal RNA. Lineage: Eukaryota; Metazoa; Chordata; Mammalia; Chiroptera; Pteropodidae. The record is from Ensembl.